Molecule: ribosomal RNA, 253 nt
Filed under: uncultured bacterium
Lineage: Bacteria
Description: partial 16S ribosomal RNA
Rfam family: Bacterial small subunit ribosomal RNA
Source: RNAcentral
UACGGAGGGUGCAAGCGUUGUUCGGAAUCACUGGGCGUAAAGCGCGUGUAGGCGGUCUCUUAAGUCUGGUGUGAAAGCCCGGGGCUUACCCCCGGAAGUGCACUGGAGACUGGGAGACUCGAGUACCGGAGAGGAAGGUGGAAUUCCUGGUGUAGCGGUGAAAUGCGUAGAUAUCAGGAGGAACACCGGUGGCGAAGGCGGCAUUCUGGACGGCUACUGACGCUGAGACGCGAAAGCGUGGGGAGCAAACAGG